Molecule: ribosomal RNA, 460 nt
Filed under: uncultured bacterium
Lineage: Bacteria
Description: partial 16S ribosomal RNA
Rfam family: Bacterial small subunit ribosomal RNA
Source: RNAcentral
CCUCCGGGAGGCAGCAGUGAGGCAUAUUUGUCAAUUGGCGAGAGCCUGAACCAGCCAAGUCGCGUGAAGGAUGACGGCCCUACGGGUUGUAAACUUCUUUUGUCAGUGCUCAAUUGGGUCCACGCGUGGGCUUAGCGCGAGUACCUGACGAAAAAGCAUCGGCUAACUCCGGGCCAGCUGCCGCGGUAAUACGGAGGAUGCUAGCGUUAUGCUGAUUUAUUGGGUUUAAAAGGUGCGUAGGCGGAAUAUCAAGUCAGCGGUAAAAAUUCGGGGCUCAACCCCGUCGUGCCGUUGAAACUGAUGUUAGUGAGUGGGCGAGAAGUAUGCGGAAUGCGUGGUGUAGCGGUGAAAUGCAUAGAUAUCACGCAGAACUCCGAUUGCGAAGGCAGCAUACCGGCGCCCAACUGACGCUGAAGCACGAAAGCGUGGGUAUCGAACAGGAUUAGAUACCCCAGUAGUC